AUUAACAAAAUAAAAUAUAAGUGUGUCGUUUAAUGUCCACUCGUUUAUUGCAUUUGUAGUCACUGGGGAUUUGUUAAACUUGUAUUUUUAAUUGAUAUGAAUUAUUCAACAAUCAGAAACAUGUUAUUUAUGAAUACUUUGCAACUAUUUCUAUAUCGAGUUUUGCACGUGAUUCAGGAAACCGGUUUGCACACGAUUAUAUAAUGUUAUAUAUAUUUAUAAAUGUGCGUGCUUCCAUCGAACGUAUUGAGUGCUUAUGCAGUGUUUGUAUUCACGAAGACUGCUUAAGGUAAAAGUAUCGAGUUUGCACUAAUGCAUAUGCAUCAAUGCAUUGAGUUUUCACACAGCUCCAAAAAUAAUACAUAAUAAAAAUUGAAAAAGCUAGCCUAAUCAUUUUUUAUGUUGUUUAAUACUGUUGUUUUUCUCUAUCUGUCUUUCCAGUGCGAACAUUUGUGGUGCAACAAUAGAAGGAUAUGGUGCAUCCUGGUUUUGGAGUCCAAUGCUGUCUGCGGAAAUACACAGAGAAGUUGAUUCAGUGUUUAAUGGUGUACAUCUCUGACAAUGCUGAUAAUCUCAUCAGGCAUUACCAGGAUAGCCAUGGUGACCUAAAGGAACUGGAACAGCACACACUGAGGAUUAUCACAAAGGUGGCUUCAUGGACGAUCCUUUAGAGACUGUAACUUUCUUUUGGUCAAAUUGUCACUUUUUUCAGAAGUACUACAGUCAUGAUUUUUGGUUUUAGACUAUUUAAGUUGCUGUUUCCAGAGUAGUAUUGCAAUCUCUGUCAGAAAACCUAAAAUGCUUUAUUUUUGUACUGAUUUUACUAAUUGUGUGAAAACCUUUUGUUGAAAUGCUGUCCAAAAAUUAGGUAAAAUGCUUGUUUUGUGUUUAUUGUAUGUUUUGUACUUAUUUUAAGACAUUGAAUGUUCUAGAGCAGUACAGUAAGUUUUAUUCAAUAGCUCAAGGUCUAAAAUUAAUUAAAAUUUUAAGUUUGUUCAA
Ctenopharyngodon idella (grass carp) is the source of this 999-nucleotide long non-coding RNA. RefSeq lists it as uncharacterized. NCBI's taxonomy places the organism in Eukaryota, Metazoa, Chordata, Actinopteri, Cypriniformes, Xenocyprididae. The record is from RefSeq and is a predicted model, not a curated record. The transcript is spliced from 3 exons.